This 433-nucleotide ribosomal RNA is filed under the name uncultured bacterium. Its description in RNAcentral is "partial 16S ribosomal RNA". It matches the Rfam family "Bacterial small subunit ribosomal RNA", at positions 29 to 507 of the family's 1533-position model. The record is from RNAcentral.
AACGAACGCUGGCGGCAUGCCUAACACAUGCAAGUCGAACGAAGGCUUCGGCCUUACUGGCGCACGGGUGCGUAACGCGUGGGAAUCUGCCCUUUGGUUCGGAAUAACAGCUGGAAACGGCUGCUAAUACCGGAUGAUGACGAAAGUCCAAAGAUUUGUCGUCAGAGGGUGAGCCGGCGUUGGAUUAGGUAGUUGGUGGGGUAAAGGCCUACCAAGCCGACGCUCCAUAGCUGGUCUGAGAGGAAGAGCAGCGACACUGGGACUGGGACACGGCCCAGACUCCUACGGGAGGCGGGAGAGGGGGAUAUUGGACAAUGGGGUGAAGGCUGAAGCAGCAAUGCCGGGAGAGUGAUGAAGGCCGUAAGGUUGUAAAGCUCUUUUACCCGGGAAGAUAAUGACGGUACCGGGAGAAUAAGCCCCGGCUAACUCCGUG